RNAcentral lists this ribosomal RNA (253 nucleotides) under uncultured bacterium. RNAcentral's name for it is "partial 16S ribosomal RNA". It matches the Rfam family "Bacterial small subunit ribosomal RNA", at positions 524 to 776 of the family's 1533-position model. The record is from RNAcentral.
UACAGAGGUCUCAAGCGUUGUUCGGAUUCAUUGGGCGUAAAGGGUGCGUAGGCGGCGCGGUAAGUCGGGUGUGAAAUCUCGGAGCUUAACUCCGAAACUGCAUUCGAUACUGCCGUGCUUGGGGACUGGAGAGGAGACUGGAAUUUACGGUGUAGCGGUGAAAUGCGUAGAUAUCGUAAGGAAGACCAGUGGCGAAGGCGGGUCUCUGGACAGUUCCUGACGCUGAGGCACGAAGGUCAGGGGAGCAAACGGG